GACGAACGCUGGCGGCGUGCCUAAUACAUGCAAGUAGAACGCACAGUUUAUACCGUAGCUUGCUACACCAUAGACUGUGAGUUGCGAACGGGUGAGUAACGCGUAGGUAACCUGCCUGGUAGCGGGGGAUAACUAUUGGAAACGAUAGCUAAUACCGCAUAAUAUUAAUUAUUGCAUGAUAAUUAAUUGAAAGGUGCAAUUGCACCACUACCAGAUGGACCUGCGUUGUAUUAGCUAGUAGGUGAGGUAACGGCUCACCUAGGCGACGAUACAUAGCCGACCUGAGAGGGUGAUCGGCCACACUGGGACUGAGACACGGCCCAGACUCCUACGGGAGGCAGCAGUAGGGAAUCUUCGGCAAUGGACGAAAGUCUGACCGAGCAACGCCGCGUGAGUGAAGAAGGUUUUCGGAUCGUAAAGCUCUGUUGUAAGAGAAGAACGGGUGUGAGAGUGGAAAGUUCACACUGUGACGGUAUCUUACCAGAAAGGGACGACUAACUACGU
Molecule: ribosomal RNA, 504 nt
Filed under: uncultured bacterium
Lineage: Bacteria
Description: partial 16S ribosomal RNA
Rfam family: Bacterial small subunit ribosomal RNA
Source: RNAcentral